Molecule: ribosomal RNA, 157 nt
Filed under: Weissella halotolerans
Lineage: Bacteria; Bacillati; Bacillota; Bacilli; Lactobacillales; Lactobacillaceae
Description: partial 16S ribosomal RNA
Rfam family: Bacterial small subunit ribosomal RNA
Source: RNAcentral
UUGUACACACCGCCCGUCACACCAUGAGAGUUUGUAACACCCAAAGCCGGUGAGGUAACCCGCAAGGGAACCAGCCGUCUAAGGUGGGACAGAUGAUUAGGGUGAAGUCGUAACAAGGUAGCCGUAGGAGAACCUGCGGCUGGAUCACCUCCUUUCU